AUGGCGCAUGGUGAGGGGUCUGUUCCUUCCAGUGAACUGUCGAUUUGUCAGUUAGCUGAGCGGCAUCUAUAUGAGCCUAAUACUAGUGAAGAGGUCAACCCAGUGAUCAGACAGCAGGUGCUCGCACAUGCGGAUUUGACGCGCCAUCCUCGUGGUUGGAAUGUGGGGUCUACUCUUAGUGACUAUUCUUUUCACCCAUUAGCACCUUAUUCUAAACCUGAUCAUGAAGCCUACACCCUAGGGACCAGGAUGGUAGCAAAAGGUCUAGGUUGGGAUGGUCACACAGCCGAGUAUGUUCCGCAAUCCAAAGACUAUGUUGAGUGGGGCAUCUCUAUAUUGAAUAACCACUUGUUUUGUUUGAAAGGCGAAGCGGAGAACACCGAUUAUAUAUAUGGGGCCAUUUAUUGCUCCCUCGGUGAAUAUGAAGUUUCAGAUUCGUUACUGAGGUCACUAAUGGAAAGAUGGGAUCCAGAAACAAAUACUUUUCUUUUUUCAUCUGGUGAACGCACCGUGACUCUGCUUGACAUGCUUCUAAUGUCAGGUCUUCCUUCAGUUGGAGAUCCAUACGAGGAAUAUGUUCCCUCUAUAGAUGACCUAGAACCUUCAAAGCUUAUGUUCCCAAAUUUCUUAUCUGGUCUUUUAGAAGAAUUCUACCGGCUCAGCCGCAAAAAUGGGAGUGUGACUUUUCAAGUUUGGUGUGACCACUUCCAUAACAGACGCGAAUGCACUUCGUCUUUCACCUCCCUUCGGGAACAACACAUAUACAUUGCGGCUUUUAUAGCCCACUGGCUUUGCUCUUACGUGGUUGUUGGUGGGGGGCCUUAUAUUCGUCCUGGUGUCCUUCUUAUGGCCUCUUGGAUCGUCUCGGGUCGCAAGAUCUCUUUGGCCCCUUCAACACUUUGUUCAUUGUAUUAUUCUCUUCGAAGGAUCAGUAUGCACCCCGUUGCUUCCUCCUAUGAGAAAAGAAUUUGA
Molecule: ribosomal RNA, 972 nt
Filed under: Triticum aestivum (bread wheat)
Lineage: Eukaryota; Viridiplantae; Streptophyta; Magnoliopsida; Poales; Poaceae
Description: partial small subunit ribosomal RNA
Source: RNAcentral